UAGAUCUGGGUUCAAUACUCUGAGUCCCUAGACCUAUUUUUUUCUUGUCCCCACUUCUGUUGGGAUCAAGCUCCCCAAAGAGUUUUUAUAUUUGCAUCACGACCAUAGGUCUUAGCCCCGGUCUCGAUCCCCAAAGUAGAGUUAACCAGUGACGACACCCAAGUAAACAUAUGAUAGGUUUCUCAGCAGAGGGAUCCACAGGCCAAUUCAAUUCAAUUGGCACACCGAAAGAAUAUAAUUUAAUUGAGAUUCCAGAAUUUUUUAAAGGUAUUCUUACUGACUGGGGAACAUGUAUAUGCAUGUAUACAUAUGCAUUUAAUUUGAAAAGGGUGGGUAAUUAAGUACUUAGACCUAAGAAGCUCAAGUUUUAAAAUUAUAUGAGUGACAUCAAAUAUGAGAAGAAGAAUUAUUAUGGCACUUUUCAGAUUAUAUUGCCUGGACUUGAUAAUUUUUAAGUUGACUCGUGAGUUCUGUUCCUGUUUCCCUUUUGACCAGGUGCCGAUAGCCGUGACUUCAUUAUCCACAGCAUCACAACUAGCCUUAUAUAUCAUACACAGUUGGGAAAGACUCCUCUCAUGGCCCUGCCCUGGAUGUGAAAUUAAAGCAAAACAUUGCUUAAUGUUACCUUUUGGCCUGAGAUCUUCAUGUAGCUCCAGAAUAAUUUGUUAUUUGUGUUUUAAUUGGAAACUCUCGUAACUGUGUUAGAGGGAGAAUGGUCUAUGGUAGCAAAAUGCAGAUGCUGAUUUUUUUUUAAUAAGAGAAUGAUCAAGUAUCUAUGACCCUAUUACUCGUCUAACUGCUGCUUGAAAGAGGUAUCUCAAGAAAAAUAAAUUACAUUUUAAUCAUGGGUGCUAUAUUUUAUUCUGAGAAUUGAUGUUCUCUUGGAAUGUAGAUAGCUUUAAAGGACACAUUAGCGGGUGACUGAUUGGUAAUGAGUAAUAAAGGAAAUAGCACUUUUGAACUGGUGUCAUCACUGCUACGCAGACGUUCCAACAAAAUGUUCCUUGUGCCCUCGUCAUAGACUGAUGCUGAGUUUUCCUGAGUCUGAAGAAUUAACUGGACACGAAGUAGAGAUCCCAGCACAGUUUGCUCGGCUGAUAGCAGCAAGUGAAAUCUCCUAGAGGGGCCUGGGAAUCAGCAAAACCGCAAGCAUCAUUGGAACCCAGCAUUGCAGGCUGGAAACCUCUCCAG
RNAcentral lists this long non-coding RNA (1191 nucleotides) under Lynx canadensis (Canada lynx). RNAcentral describes it as "lncRNA (ENSLCNG00005002983.1)". Lineage: Eukaryota; Metazoa; Chordata; Mammalia; Carnivora; Felidae. The record is from RNAcentral.